CCACUUGUCCAUACCCUGAAGGCAUCCCAUUCUGACUGUUCUGGAAAGUCAAACAGGAUCAGGCCUGGUUACUAUUUGGAUGGGAGACCACCAAGGAAUACCAGGUGCUGUGGGCU
Molecule: ribosomal RNA, 116 nt
Filed under: Anolis carolinensis (green anole)
Lineage: Eukaryota; Metazoa; Chordata; Lepidosauria; Squamata; Anolidae
Source: RNAcentral